Molecule: ribosomal RNA, 1385 nt
Filed under: Rummeliibacillus stabekisii
Lineage: Bacteria; Bacillati; Bacillota; Bacilli; Caryophanales; Caryophanaceae
Description: bacterial SSU rRNA
Rfam family: Bacterial small subunit ribosomal RNA
Source: RNAcentral
UAAUACAUGCAAGUCGAGCGAAUGACGAGGAGCUUGCUCCUCUGAUUUAGCGGCGGACGGGUGAGUAACACGUGGGCAACCUGCCCUGCAGACUGGGAUAACUUCGGGAAACCGGAGCUAAUACCGGAUAAUCCAUUUUACUUCAUGGUGAAAUGUUGAAAGGCGCUUUCGCGCCACUGCAGGAUGGGCCCGCGGUGCAUUAGCUAGUUGGUGGGGUAACGGCCUACCAAGGCGACGAUGCAUAGCCGACCUGAGAGGGUGAUCGGCCACAUUGGGACUGAGACACGGCCCAAACUCCUACGGGAGGCAGCAGUAGGGAAUCUUCCACAAUGGACGAAAGUCUGAUGGAGCAACGCCGCGUGAGUGAUGAAGGUUUUCGGAUCGUAAAACUCUGUUGUAAGGGAAGAACAAGUACGUUAGGAAAUGAACGUACCUUGACGGUACCUUAUUAGAAAGCCACGGCUAACUACGUGCCAGCAGCCGCGGUAAUACGUAGGUGGCAAGCGUUGUCCGGAUUUAUUGGGCGUAAAGCGCGCGCAGGUGGUUUCUUAAGUCUGAUGUGAAAUCUCGCGGCUCAACCGCGAGCGGUCAUUGGAAACUGGGGAACUUGAGUGCAGAAGAGGAUAGUGGAAUUCCAAGUGUAGCGGUGAAAUGCGUAGAGAUUUGGAGGAACACCAGUGGCGAAGGCGACUGUCUGGUCUGUAACUGACACUGAGGCGCGAAAGCGUGGGGAGCAAACAGGAUUAGAUACCCUGGUAGUCCACGCCGUAAACGAUGAGUGCUAAGUGUUUAGGGGGUUUCCGCCCCUUAGUGCUGCAGCUAACGCAUUAAGCACUCCGCCUGGGGGAGUACGACCGCAAGGUUGAAACUCAAAGGAAUUGACGGGGGCCCGCACAAGCGGUGGAGCAUGUGGUUUAAUUCGAAGCAACGCGAAGAACCUUACCAGGUCUUGACAUCCCAGUGACCGCUCUAGAAGAUAGAGUUUUCCCUUCGGGGACAUUGGUGACAGGUGGGUGCAUGGUUGUCGUCAGCUCGUGUCGUGAAAAGUUUGGGUUAAGUCCCGCAACGAGCGCAACCCUUGAUCUUAGUUGCCAUCAUUUAGUUGGGCACUCUAAGGUGACUGCCGGUGACAAACCGGAGAGAAAGGUGGGGGAUGAAGUCAAAUCAUCCUGGCCCCUUAUGAACUGGGGCUACCACCGUGGUUACAAUGGGACGGGUACAAAGAAUUCCCAAACUCCGCGGAGACAAACUAUAUCUCUUAAAACCGUUUUCUCAUUUCGGAAUUGUAGGGUGGAAACUCCCCUCACUUAAAACCCGGAAUCUCUUUAUAAUCCGGGAUACACUUGGCCGCGGUGGAAAAAAUUUCCCGGGCCUUUUUUAAAAAA